RNAcentral lists this long non-coding RNA (489 nucleotides) under Androctonus crassicauda. The record is from RNAcentral. Lineage: Eukaryota; Metazoa; Arthropoda; Arachnida; Scorpiones; Buthidae.
CCAGACAGACCCAGCACUAAUUAGAGAGAUUGCUCAUCUCAUUUGUUAUAACUCAUAUUUCAUGUUUAGGGGCAAGAUAUAUAAGCAGGUUUUAGGAGUGCCAAUAGGAAGUCCAAUAGCCGGGACAUUGGCGGAAAUUGUUCUUAGAGAGAGAGAGAGAGAGAGAGGAGCAAAGGUUAAGCAAGUUCCAACAAGACAUAGUUUUAUACAUAAGGUACAUGGACGAUGUAAUGGUAGGAUGGAGGAAUAACCAAAAAAUGGAGGAACUAGCCAAAGAAUUUACUCUGGAGCAAUAUGGCCUGAAAUUAAAAAUGGAUCAGAGUAGUGGGAGAAGCAUACAUUUCCUCGACCUGCAAAUGGAUAUAGAAGAAGGGGAAGUCAGAACGAGUGUUUACAGAAAACCAGCAUAUGAGGCUGUGCUAAUACCAAGAUGGUCAAACAACCCGAUGGCUUACAAGAAAUCAGCGUUCAGAAGUUUAUAUAGAAGAG